CAGUAGCCACGGGAAUACGAAGGGUGCAAGCGUUAAUCGGAAUUACUGGGCGUAAAGGGUGCGUAGGCGGUUGUUUAAGUCUGUUGUGAAAUCCCCGGGCUCAACCUGGGAAUGGCAAUGGAAACCGGACGGCUAGAGUGUGUCAGAGGAUGGCAGAAUUCCAGGUGUAGCGGUGAAAUGCGUAGAGAUCUGGAGGAAUACCGGUGGCGAAGGCGGCCCCCUGGACAAAGACUGACGCUCAGGUGCGAAAGCGUGGGGAGCAAACAGGAUUAGAUACCCGCGUAGUCCCUGUCUCUUAUAC
Molecule: ribosomal RNA, 301 nt
Filed under: uncultured bacterium
Lineage: Bacteria
Description: partial 16S ribosomal RNA
Rfam family: Bacterial small subunit ribosomal RNA
Source: RNAcentral